Molecule: ribosomal RNA, 372 nt
Filed under: uncultured eukaryote
Lineage: Eukaryota
Description: partial 18S ribosomal RNA
Rfam family: Eukaryotic small subunit ribosomal RNA
Source: RNAcentral
CAAUAGCGUAUAUUAAAGUUGUUGCAGUUAAAAAGCCCGUAGUUGGAUUUCUGGGAGGGUGCCGCCGUCCGGCGUGUCCGUGUGCAGUGGCGCCCUUCCAUCCUUCUGUUAGCGUCUCUUGGCAUUCAUUUGCUGGUGGCGGGCUCAGAUAUUUUACCUUGAGAAAAUUAGAGUGUUUCAGGCAGGCUAGGCCGGAAUACAUUAGCAUGGAAUAAUGGAAUAGGACUACGGUCUCUUUGUUGGUUUGAGGGACUGCAGUAAUGAUUAAUAGGGAUAGUUGGGGGCAUUAGUAUUUAAUUGUCAGAGGUGGAAUUCUCAGAUUUGUUAAAGACUAACUUAUGCGAAAGCAUUUGCCAAGGAUGUUUNCAUUAA